Molecule: transfer RNA, 56 nt
Filed under: Polypterus delhezi (barred bichir)
Lineage: Eukaryota; Metazoa; Chordata; Cladistia; Polypteriformes; Polypteridae
Description: tRNA-Asn
Source: RNAcentral
CCUCCCGCCUUUUAGAGUUUCGGCGGGAGGAAAGCCUAGGUGGAAGCUUGCCGGUU